This 195-nucleotide ribosomal RNA is filed under the name Triticum aestivum (bread wheat). RNAcentral's name for it is "partial small subunit ribosomal RNA". The record is from RNAcentral. Lineage: Eukaryota; Viridiplantae; Streptophyta; Magnoliopsida; Poales; Poaceae.
AUGGAGUAUCAGCCAAUCAUCUCUGCACUCGACGUCCGCACCGAGCCUAUCACCGUCGACGCGCUCUUCUUGAUGGUGGCAAACUUCGAUCAACGUGUUGAGAUGUUCAAUGACAAUGGUGGCUUCAAGUCAUCGGUGAAUGCUGCCUCCAGGGGUCGCUUGGGUGGCUGCAGAGGCGGCUACCACAACCAGAAG